CUCAACUGAAGAAUGAAAGCUUGUUGUCUGUUGCAGUGAUGCUCACAGGCUGCAUAAUCAAACUUAGAGCCAGUUAACUAGCAUGUCACUGCCUAUCACCCAACAAGGCUGAUUGAAAUAAUCCAUGUAAAAUGCUCAGUGGAGUGCAUGAUACAAGACUAGAAGCUCAGGAGCUUUCUUCAGUCUUUUAUUAAGAACAAAAUGACCAGCAGGAGAAUGAUGUGAAAUUCACUGAGACCUAAAUGAAAUGACACACAAGCCUGAAAGAUGAAAGAUACAGUGUUUAUGCUUCUCCCUAGGAAGAGCCAUAGGCCUUGGGCCCCACCAAGGUAAUUCUGGACCCUAGCCCCAGGUCCCUUUCUUGUGAUGAUAGAAUUCUUUUGAGGCUUUGCACAUGUUCUUGGAGAGCCAUUAUCAUUUUCCUCUUUGCCCCCAUAUGACUCUCCAGCUGCUACAUAUUGAGCAUGCUUAGUGUCUUUCUAUCACCCCUUGACUGCCUUUCUGAAUGUUGGUAUUUCUUUCCUCGGUGUGGUUCUAGUUGCACUAACCCUCAGGAAGUUGCCGUUCUGACUGGGGGAGGAAUCUCUUUCCAUCGUGGAUAAAAUCAUGCUGUUGCUUCUCAGCUUUUAUCCAUGCACU
This is a long non-coding RNA of Cercocebus atys (sooty mangabey), 639 nucleotides long. RefSeq lists it as uncharacterized. The transcript is spliced from 4 exons. The record is from RefSeq and is a predicted model, not a curated record. NCBI's taxonomy places the organism in Eukaryota, Metazoa, Chordata, Mammalia, Primates, Cercopithecidae.